GACGAACGCUGGCGGCGUGCUUAACACAUGCAAGUCGAACGGAGAUUAUUAAUGAAGCUUGCGAUUUAAUAAUCUUAGUGGCGGACGGGUGAGUAACGCGUGGGUAACCUGCCCAUAAGAGGGGGAUAACAGCUGGAAACGGCUGCUAAUACCGCAUACGCUUUCCGGGACACAAGUGCCGGAAAGGAAAGAUGGCCUCUACAUGUAAGCUAUCACUUAUGGAUGGACCCGCGUCUGAUUAGCUAGUUGGUGGGUAGAAGCCUACCAAGGCGACGAUCAGUAGCCGGCCUGAGAGGGUGGACGGCCACACUGGGACUGAGACACGGCCCAGACUCCUACGGGAGGCAGCAGUGGGGAAUAUUGCGCAAUGGGGGAAACCCUGACGCAGCGACGCCGCGUGAGCGAAGAAGGCCUUCGGGUUGUAAAGCUCUGUCUGGAGGGACGGAAGGAAGUGACGGUACCGUCCGGAGGAAGCCACGGCUAACUACGUACGCCAGCACGCCGCGGUAACG
RNAcentral lists this ribosomal RNA (512 nucleotides) under uncultured bacterium. RNAcentral's name for it is "bacterial SSU rRNA". It matches the Rfam family "Bacterial small subunit ribosomal RNA", at positions 28 to 525 of the family's 1533-position model. The record is from RNAcentral.